Molecule: ribosomal RNA, 510 nt
Filed under: Ptycta apicantha
Lineage: Eukaryota; Metazoa; Arthropoda; Insecta; Psocodea; Psocidae
Description: partial 16S ribosomal RNA
Rfam family: Bacterial large subunit ribosomal RNA (bases 377-510)
Source: RNAcentral
AAAACAUGUCUUUUUGAUAAAAAUUUAAAGUCAGGUCUGCUCACUGAAUUAUUUAAAGAGCCGCAGUAUAUUGACUGUGCAAAGGUAGCAUAAUCAAUAGUUUUUUAAUUGGAAACUAGAAUGAAAGAUUAGACGAAAAAUUAAUUUUCUUUGUUUUAAUAAAUUUAAUUUUAAAUUUAAGUGAAAAUGCUUAAAUAUAAUUAAAAGACGAGAAGACCCUAUAGAUUUUUAUUAUUGAAAUGAAUUUUUAAAUUUAAUUUAAUAAAAUAAUUUAAUUGGGGCGAUUUUAUAAUAUAAAUAACUUAAUUUUUUUUAAACCAUAAAUAAUUGAAUAUUUGAUCUAAAAUUUUUAAAGAAAAGACUAAAUUACCUUAGGGAUAACAGCGUAAUUUUAUUUAAGAGUUCAUAUCUAUAAUAAAGUUUGCGACCUCGAUGUUGAAUUAAGAUAAUAUAUUGGAGUAGAAAUUAAUAUAAUUAGUCUGUUCGACUAUUAAAUUCUUACGUGAUCUG